GAGUUUGAUCCUGGCUCAGAUUGAACGCUGGCGGCAUGCCUUACACAUGCAAGUUCGAACGGCAGCACGGGAGCUUGCUCCUGGUGGCGAGUGGCGAACGGGUGAGUAAUGCAUCGGAACGUAUCCUGGAGUGGGGGAUAACGUAGCGAAAGUUACGCUAAUACCGCAUAUUCUGUGAGCAGGAAAGCGGGGGACCUUCGGGCCUCGCGCUCUUGGAGCGGCCGAUGUCGGAUUAGCUAGUUGGUGAGGUAAAGGCUCACCAAGGCGACGAUCCGUAGCAGGUCUGAGAGGAUGAUCUGCCACACUGGAACUGAGACACGGUCCAGACUCCUACGGGAGGCAGCAGUGGGGAAUUUUGGACAAUGGGGGCAACCCUGGAUCCAGCCAUGCCGCGUGAGUGAAGAAGGCC
RNAcentral lists this ribosomal RNA (409 nucleotides) under bacterium enrichment culture clone ALO1_GLFRUDD03G1VSY. RNAcentral's name for it is "bacterial SSU rRNA". It matches the Rfam family "Bacterial small subunit ribosomal RNA", at positions 9 to 416 of the family's 1533-position model. The record is from RNAcentral.